CGUAUUCCCGUCUCGCUUGUCUGGAGGAUCAGCAUUUGAUUCGACUAGGAAAGGUGCCCAGUAAAAUGCUAUGGUUGUAUUGUACUCCUCCUACACAUUCAUUCAAAUUACUAGAGAAGGUCUUGUUCCCUGAGGGAAUCACAGAUUGGACCAUACAAACCAUGGAUUGCCACUGAUUGUAGUGUAUUGAAUCACCAACGAAUAUCAGUUUCUUCCCCCUGAGUUUCUCUAGCAGCACCUUUCCAUCAAACCUAGAACCCCAAAGAAAGAAAGUCUAUUGAGAGAAAAAGAGAGUGUUUACUCAUUUUGCUUAUUUUGUUCUCAGAAAGGUGGAACUGACCUUGGCAAAGAGCAAUCUCGAGGUUGCCAUCUCCAUUUCUGGAUGUGUGACGUUAUCAAGAACCCAUUCACCUGUGAAAACAUCACAGAUCUCUAGUGGAACCAGAUCAGUCUUCUUGUCUUUAUCUUCUUUGCUUUGUUGUGGUGAACUGAUGUGUUCUUGCACUUUAUGUCUCUUGGAUUCCUGAAACUGGCCAAUCCUCAGCUGCUUCUCGUUGUACAGAUAGCAUCCGAGAAGGAACACUGGAAGAAGAAUGACUGCAAAGUAGAGCAGAAGAAGGUAACCUUUCCUUGCUCUGCCAUCGAUUUGUUUCAUACCGUCACGUUAUGUUUCUGGAGAUAUGAGAAGAAUGGUAUAACAACUAUGAAUGUUGGGUCGUAGUUGGUUUAUUAACUCCAACUAAUUCAACAUAUUUUACAAUCAUGGAGCUGAUAAAACACACCUACUAAUCUUGUCAUGUAUUGUAACUAUAAUAUUUAUGUUUCCCUGCGUAAAUGUACACUUUAUUCAACAAAUUUUUUUAGCCUAAUUCACAAAACAAUCUAUGGCAUACUUGGCUCUCACUAUAUACAUCACAAGAAUUUCGAAAUAACCAAAAAAACAAAAAAAAAAA
Long non-coding RNA from Camelina sativa (false flax), 953 nucleotides. RefSeq lists it as uncharacterized. The record is from RefSeq and is a predicted model, not a curated record. Lineage: Eukaryota; Viridiplantae; Streptophyta; Magnoliopsida; Brassicales; Brassicaceae.